Molecule: ribosomal RNA, 457 nt
Filed under: uncultured bacterium
Lineage: Bacteria
Description: partial 16S ribosomal RNA
Rfam family: Bacterial small subunit ribosomal RNA
Source: RNAcentral
GAUGAACGCUGGCGGCGUGCCUAAUACAUGCAAGUCGAGCGGUAAGGCCCUUCGGGGUACACGAGCGGCGGACGGCUGAGUAACACGUAGGAACCUACCCCAAACUGAGGGAUAAGCACCAGAAAUGGUGUCUAAUACCGCAUGUGCCAUACGGAGUAAAGCUUCGGCGGUUUGGGAAGGGCCUGCGUCCGAUUAGCUAGUUGGUGGUAUAAAAGACUACCAAGGCGACGAUCGGUAGCUGGUCUGAGAGGAUGAUCAGCCAGACUGGGACUGAGACACGGCCCAGACUCCUACGGGAGGCAGCAGUAGGGAAUUUUCCACAAUGGGCGAAAGCCUGAUGGAGCAACGCCGCGUGCAGGAUGAAUGCCUUCGGGUUGUAAACUGCUUUUAUCUGUGACGAAUAUGACGGUAGCAGAUGAAUAAGGACCUGCUAACUACGUGCCAGCAGCCGCCGUAA